This 240-nucleotide long non-coding RNA is filed under the name Homo sapiens (human). Its description in RNAcentral is "HSALNT0351420". The record is from RNAcentral. Lineage: Eukaryota; Metazoa; Chordata; Mammalia; Primates; Hominidae.
GUCUCCCAAGUAGCUGGGAUUACAGAUUCUUCAAGGAAAGGAACCAUCUCUUCUUUCUCCUUUGGUACUAUCAAGCAACAUCUUCGACAUCUACUUCAUCUACUGGAAGAAACCUCCCACGUUCUCCAGAGUUGUCAACCAUGUACCAGGAUAUGAUGCAAAUAUAAAGGGAUCAUUGCUUUUAUCUUGUCCUCUUACAGUCAAAUGUCCAGAAUUAACAUCUACGUUUGUGGCUCCUCA